This 413-nucleotide unclassified non-coding RNA is filed under the name soil metagenome. RNAcentral describes it as "partial contains 5.8S ribosomal RNA, internal transcribed spacer 2, and large subunit ribosomal RNA". The stretch from base 1 to 120 matches the Rfam family "5.8S ribosomal RNA", at positions 35 to 154 of the family's 154-position model. The record is from RNAcentral.
GAUGAAGAACGCAGCGAAAUGCGAUAAGUAAUGUGAAUUGCAGAAUUCAGUGAAUCAUCGAAUCUUUGAACGCACCUUGCGCUCUUUGGUAUUCCGAAGAGCAUGCCUGUUUGAGUGUCAUGAAAAUAUCAACCUUGACUUGGGUUUUGUGCUCUAGUCUCGGCUUGGAAUUGGGUGCUUGCCGCUUUUACGAGCGGCUCACCUUAAAUGUAUUAGCUGGAUCUGUCUUUGAGACUUGGUUUGACUUGGCGUAAUAAGUAUUUCGCUAAGGACAUUCUUCGGAGUGGCCUCGUUUCUAGGACGCUUGUCCGCUUUCCAAUACAAAUUCCACCUCGUGGACAUGACUUUUUAUUAUCUGGCCUCAAAUCAGGUAGGACUACCCGCUGAACUUAAGCAUAUCAAUAAGCGGAGGA